GAUGAAGAACGUAGCGAAAUGCGAUAAGUAAUGUGAAUUGCAGAAUUCAGUGAAUCAUCGAAUCUUUGAACGCACAUUGCGCCCCCUGGCAUUCCGGGGGGCAUGCCUGUUCGAGCGUCAUUACAACCCUCAAGCUCUGCUUGGUAUUGGGCUCUGCUGGGACCGGCAGGCCUUAAAAUCAGUGGCGGCGCCACUCGGCUUCAAGCGUAGUAAUUCUUCUCGCUUCGGAGACCCGGGUGCGUGCUAGCCAGCAACCCCCAACUUUCUUAGGUUGACCUCGGAUCAGGUAGGGAUACCCGCUGAACUUAAGCAUAUCAAUAAGCGGAGGA
Molecule: unclassified non-coding RNA, 329 nt
Filed under: soil metagenome
Description: partial contains 5.8S ribosomal RNA, internal transcribed spacer 2, and large subunit ribosomal RNA
Rfam family: 5.8S ribosomal RNA (bases 1-120)
Source: RNAcentral